RNAcentral lists this ribosomal RNA (490 nucleotides) under uncultured bacterium. RNAcentral describes it as "partial 16S ribosomal RNA". It matches the Rfam family "Bacterial small subunit ribosomal RNA", at positions 28 to 507 of the family's 1533-position model. The record is from RNAcentral.
GAUGAACGCUAGCUACAGGCUUAACACAUGCAAGUCGAGGGGCAGCGGGAUUGAAGCUUGCUUCAAUUGCCGGCGACCGGCGCACGGGUGAGUAACGCGUAUCCAACCUUCCGUACACUCAGGGAUAGCCUUUCGAAAGAAAGAUUAAUACCUGAUGGUAUGAUGAGAUUGCAUGAUAUCAUCAUUAAAGAUUUAUCGGUGUACGAUGGGGAUGCGUUCCAUUAGGUAGUAGGCGGGGUAACGGCCCACCUAGCCAACGAUGGAUAGGGGUUCUGAGAGGAAGGUCCCCCACAUUGGAACUCAGACACGGUCCAAACUCCUACGGGAGGCAGCAGUGAGGAAUAUUGGUCAAUGGACGAGAGUCUGAACCAGCCAAGUAGCGUGAAGGAUGAAGGUCCUACGGAUUGUAAACUUCUUUUAUAAGGGAAUAAACCCUCCCACGUGUGGGAGCUUGUAUGUACCUUAUGAAUAAGCAUCGGCUAACUCCGUG